RNAcentral lists this ribosomal RNA (331 nucleotides) under uncultured bacterium. RNAcentral's name for it is "bacterial SSU rRNA". It matches the Rfam family "Bacterial small subunit ribosomal RNA", at positions 568 to 898 of the family's 1533-position model. The record is from RNAcentral.
CGCGCAGGCGGCCUUGCAAGUCAGUGGUGAAAUCCCAGAGCUUAACUCCGGAAUUGCCAUUGAAACUGCGAGGCUUCGAGUACGGGAGAGGUGAGUGGAAUUCCCAGUGUAGAGGUGAAAUUCGUAGAUAUUGGGAAGAACACCGGUGGCGAAGGCGGCUCACUGGCCCGUUACUGACGCUCAGGCGCGACAGCGUGGGGAUCAAACAGGAUUAGAUACCCUGGUAGUCCACGCCGUAAACGAUGGAUGCCAGCCGUUGGCAAGCUUGCUUGUCAGUGGCGCAGCUAACGCAUUAAGCAUCCCGCCUGGGGAGUACGGCCGCAAGGUUGAA